Molecule: ribosomal RNA, 465 nt
Filed under: Vreelandella stevensii
Lineage: Bacteria; Pseudomonadati; Pseudomonadota; Gammaproteobacteria; Oceanospirillales; Halomonadaceae
Description: partial 16S ribosomal RNA
Rfam family: Bacterial small subunit ribosomal RNA
Source: RNAcentral
CCUACGGGUGGCAGCAGUGGGGAAUAUUGGACCAUGGGCGAAAGCCUGAUCCAGCCAUGCCGCGUGUGUGAAGAAGGCCUUCGGGUUGUAAAGCACUUUCAGUGGGGAAGAAAGCCUUGGGGCUAAUACCCUCGAGGAAGGACAUCACCCACAGAAGAAGCCCCGGCUAACUCCGUGCCAGCAGCCGCGGUAAUACGGAGGGUGCGAGCGUUAAUCGGAAUUACUGGGCGUAAAGCGCGCGUAGGCGGUCUGAUAAGCCGGUUGUGAAAGCCCCGGGCUCAACCUGGGAACGGCAUCCGGAACUGGCAGGCUAGAGUGCAGGAGAGGAAGGUAGAAUUCCCGGUGUAGCGGUGAAAUGCGUAGAGAUCGGGAGGAAUACCAGUGGCGAAGGCGGCCUUCUGGACUGACACUGACGCUGAGGUGCGAAAGCGUGGGUAGCAAACAGGAUUAGAUACCCCGGUAGUC